Otolemur garnettii (small-eared galago) is the source of this 73-nucleotide non-coding RNA. Lineage: Eukaryota; Metazoa; Chordata; Mammalia; Primates; Galagidae. The record is from Rfam.
UAGAGCUUGGACAGUUCUGGGCAAGCUGACUAAAUAUGAUUCUGUUGCCCAGGCUAAAGUGCCCUGUUGCCAU